Molecule: ribosomal RNA, 426 nt
Filed under: uncultured bacterium
Lineage: Bacteria
Description: partial 16S ribosomal RNA
Rfam family: Bacterial small subunit ribosomal RNA
Source: RNAcentral
GUGAGGAAUUUUCCGCAAUGGGCGAAAGCCUGACGGAGCAAUGCCGCGUGAAGGAUGAAGGCCUAUGGGUUGUAAACUUCUUUUCUCAGAAAAGAAUUAUGACGGUAUCUGAGGAAUAAGCAUCGGCUAACUCUGUGCCAGCAGCCGCGGUAAGACAGAGGAUGCAAGCGUUAUCCGGAAUGAUUGGGCGUAAAGCGUCUGUAGGUUGUUUAAAAAGUAUUCUGUCAAAGAUUAGGGCUUAACCCUAGAUAGGCAGAAUAAACUUUUAAGCUAGAGUUUGGUAGAGGCAGAGGGAAUUCCCGGUGGAGCGGUGAAAUACGUAGAUAUCGGGAGGAACACCAAAGGCGAAGGCACUCUGCUGGGCCAAUACUAACACUGAGAGACGAAAGCGAGGGGAGCAAAUGGGAUUAGAUACCCUUGUAGUCC